CCAGCAGCUGCGGUAAUUCCGGCUCCAAUAGCGUCUAUUAAAGUUGUUGCAGUUAAAAAGCUCUUAGUCUGAUGUAAUGGGGACUGGUGGGGGGAGCAGCAAUGCUCUUUGCUUCGGUCUUCAUCAACGGGACAGCAAUGUCCCAUUUUACUUUGAGGAAAUUAGAGUGUUGAAAGCAGGCGAUUGCUUGAAUACUGCAGCAUGGAAUAAUGGAAUAGGACUCGCGUCUUAUUUUGUUGGUUUGGAGAUGUGAGUAAUGAUGAAUAGGGACAGUUGGGGGCAUUGGUAUUCAGUAGUCAGAGGUGAAAUUCUUGGAUUUACUGAAGACUAACUAGUGCGAAAGCAUUUGCCAAGGAGGUUUUCAUUGAUCAAGAACGAAAGU
Molecule: ribosomal RNA, 382 nt
Filed under: uncultured eukaryote
Lineage: Eukaryota
Description: SSU rRNA
Rfam family: Eukaryotic small subunit ribosomal RNA
Source: RNAcentral